UAAGGAAUAUUGGGCAAUGGAGGAAACUCUGACCCAGCAACGCCGCGUGAAGGAAGAAGGUCUUCGGAUUGUAAACUUCUGUUAUUAGGGAAGAAGAUAGUGACGGUACCUAAUGAGUAAGCCCCGGCUAACUACGUGCCAGCAGCCGCGGUAAUACGUAGGGGGCAAGCGUUGUCCGGAUUGACUGGGCGUAAAGGGAGCGUAGGCGGUUUGGUAAGUCAAAUGUGAAAGCCUGUAGCUUAACUACAGAAUUGCAUUUGAUACUGCUAGACUCGAGUUCGGGAGAGGUAAGUAGAAUUCCUAGUGUAGCGGUGGAAUGCGUAGAUAUUAGGAGGAAUACCAGUGGCGAAGGCGGCUUGCUGGAACGACACUGACGCUGAGGCUCGAAAGCGUGGGGAGCAAACAGG
Molecule: ribosomal RNA, 407 nt
Filed under: uncultured prokaryote
Also listed under: 1 other name
Description: bacterial SSU rRNA
Rfam family: Bacterial small subunit ribosomal RNA
Source: RNAcentral